This is a non-coding RNA of Xyrichtys novacula (pearly razorfish), 15642 nucleotides long. The record is from the annotation of a GenBank genome assembly. Lineage: Eukaryota; Metazoa; Chordata; Actinopteri; Labriformes; Labridae.
AGCCGUCCACGGGCUGAGCCUCGGCUGCGCUCACUCGGGAUCCAUUCAUAAAUAAGACAUCGUUUGGAGAGGAUGCGCAUGUAAUCGCGUCUGAUGUUUUUUUAAGACUUGGCGGACCGGAUGCGAGGAGCACAGAGGAACCAGACAUGUUCACCUCGGUCGGGGGACUGUGAAUCAGGGGCACGACUGAGAGAUCAGGAGUGACUUCCCAUGGCUGACCCUCCUGCUGAUGGUUUUGACUUCAUGUGCGAGCCGUCAGGAGGCAGCUUGAUCCAGAUCACAGCGUUCGUCCAGCCCAGAAAAAUGCUCGUUUCGUCGCAGGGUUUGUUGUUUUGCUCUCCGAGUUUCCGCUUGACACGAGAAGUCAUGUUUUAAAAGUCUACGGCUUCGAUUCUACUUUCAGCUACACUUUUAGUUAUUUAAUAAAUGAUCGUCUAUCAGAGGAGCCGAGGAGCUCACACACCGAUGGAGCAGUGAGUAUGGCAGCUAAAGAGGAACUGUAUGCCAAAGUGACCCCGCGGAGGCAGCGCCAGACCCGGCCGAGCACCGUCAAACAUGGGUCCACUCUGGACAUACUGCUGUCUAUGGGCUUCCCCAAGACCAGGGCGUGAGUACACAGCUGCACUGUCCCAGGACACACACACACACACACACACACACACACACACACACACACACACACACACACACACACACACACACACACACACACACACACACACAGCAUUAACCAGGUUAAGAGGCGUCCCAGCAGCACCACUGACAAACUCUCUGUGGACACAAACUUAAAUGCCUCUUCAUCUGCUCAUCUUAACUUUGGUGCAAACUCUAGUUUUCUGCUCAAUGAUUUUACUAAACUCAAAGUCCCUCAGGUUGCCCAAGGUGUGGUUUCCUUCAGUUUUUGCUCUUGUUUGUGUGAAAGAAAAGAGUAAGAUGUGGUAAUAAAAAUAAAAACGAAAGUUAGAUGUUAGUCUGUAGAGACCCUUGAACCAUUACAAUGUUCAUACACUUUUUUAUAAGUAGACCUCCUAUGCUCAGGAGUAUUUUCUGAUAAAACAACAUUACCUCUGACUUAUAUGGAAUAUGCAUUUAAAGUAUAUAAAUAUGCAGGCUAUUUUAUAAUUUUUAUCAUUCCUGCUGUGUGUAAUGUUGGAGAUAAAGAGCUUUAACCCUUCCUAACAAGUGCUUUGAUAGUUUUAUCUCUAAUGUAAUCUCUUGAACAAUACAGCACAUUUUAUGUACUUAUUAUGUAUUUGUAAAUCUUUGUCUGUUAGAUAAGAAAUAAAUGCAGCCUGUAAAAAAGUACACAAACAUGAAGCACAUGACACUUGUUUAUGCAAAUUUGAUCAGACAGUAUUACAGCAGCAUCACAUUUAUAGAUACAGUAUCAGUAUCUAUGUGCGUACCUACCCGUGUUCCGUAUAUACAGUAUUACCCACUUCAAAAGACAAGUUAAAAAACUGCCAUUGUGUUUUGGGUCUGUUCUAAUGAAAUCCUGAUCUCCUCCAUGCUUUUUCUCAUUCGUCCUGUAGAGGAGAUGUUGGAGAUUAGGACCCUUGACCCUUUCUUGGAAGUAAAUCUUGCAAAUCUUCAUCUGUUAGAUAAGAAAUAAAUGCAGAGCGUAAAAAAGUACAGAAACAUGAAGCACAUGUGACACUUGUUUAUGUAAAUUUGAUCAGGCAGUGUUACAGCAGCAUCACAUUUAUAGAUUCAGUAUCUUCUGUGUGUCAGUGUGCGUACCUACCCGUAUUUAUACAGUAUUACCCACUUCAAAAGGCAAGUUAAAAACUGUCAUUGUGUUUUGGGUCUUUUGUAAUGAAAUCCUGAUCCCCCCCAUGCUUUUUGUCAUUCGUCCCGUAGAGAAGAAGUUGCCUGGAAACAAGCAGUUUUGGCUGCUGAAUGGUGAAUCUAUGGAUUAUGUAAUUACAUAAAGAGAAGGAUGUGUUAUAGUCUGUUUGCUAUUGGUGUUUGUUGGCUUCAUCACAACAGCACAGUUUAAGAGGUCACAACUGUCGUGAACACAUGUUUAGGUAUCAGUUUUACGCAGCUCCACAAUAGUUAGUUUGAAUUUGAUACAGGGUUCUUAACAUUGCAGACAAAAAAACACCAGCGGCUUUUCUGUAAAAAUAGCAUAUAAUUUUAAUAUAUUAUUAAAUGCUGCAUUUUCAAUGGAUUGAAAUGGGACUUAAUACUUCUGAACAUCUUUAUUGUUUAAAAAAAAAAAGCCUAGAACAACCUGCCAGCCUUUUUUAUUGUCGAAGCCUGCUGGCACAGAAAUGAUAAAGCUUUGGAUUUAAACCGUUUGUUUAACUAGCUGCCCUUUUAUUACAAACCUGCAUUCCUUUGAAUUUGAAUAGUCUUUAGUAUGACUCAUAUGGCUUAGACAACUCUACUUUAAGUUCUGUCUAGCUCAGUUUUUAAGUCUCAUGCCCCCUUACUGUCUAAACUCUGCCUAAUCAUAUCGUCUAUAAUUAUAAUGUCCUUGUAUUGUUUCUGUUUCACUGACUCCCACAUUAUAUUUCAAAACUGAUCAUUUGAACAGCCUCUUCCUGCACAAAGCCUUUCUGUAUGUAGAGUGUAUUUCAACAUUGUGUCCACAGUAACAAAAGAAAUAGGAAAUUGUUCACUUUGACUCUUUGUCAGCAGCAGCAGUAAUCUCAAAACCCAGAGAUUAACUUCCAGAUCUAUUACUUGUUCCAUUGUCUGAACUGCGGGAUAUAAAACUGUCCCCCAUUGUAAAACAAGAGAUCAGUAUUUAUUAUAAGUUUGCUAAGUAGGCCAGAAGGGUUUUCUUCUUGUAACCAGACAGAGACAGUAUCUCCAAAAUGAAGCCUUUUUAUCCUCUGCAAACUGACGAAGGUCACCCAGACUUUCAUCUUCUCAGACUACAGCUCUCUCCUGCUCUCCUGCCUAAUGAACCUCUGCAGACUAAAUGAGCCACUGGGUUUGGUUAUAUUUGCAGACUCACAUCCAUUAUUGAUGACAGACUAAUACACUUUGAUUUGAUCAAGUUUAUAAAUUUAUAAUGAAGCAGAAUAAUUUACCGUCAUUACCCUCUGUACUGUCUGGACAGGAUGGUGGGGAUACAGCUAGAGUGAUAUUAGAAAUAUAGACCGUGAUGUACAACUUACAAAGUAACUCAACGUCAGGACGACUAAGAGUGCUGAUGUUUGUGUUGGUUUGGUUCAUUUCUUCUCCGCAGAGCUUAUUGCAAAGUGGUUAUUUUAAGAACAAGUGAGUGAGUAGAGUGAGUAGCGUGAGUAGAACAGGUCAGGCUUGAUAUAUUUUAGAAACUUUUCACAUUGUGGUUUAAAAAAUAACUGAGGCUUGAACCCAGUAUCAAUAAGACGCACUUUUAAUCUCUAAGAAAUACAAAUACGUUUUUGAUCAUUAAAAAUAAAACUGUUAUUUGACUGAAGCUGCACUAAAGAUCUUCUUUUGCAAGUGUUAUCAAUAGGGCUAUGUGUAAUCUGAGAGACCCACAAAGAAUUGUCCUCUCUAAAAGCAUCCCUGAACUUUUUGCUCUAUGUCUGGACUCUCUCAACUUUUGUGACUCAUCCUAGCUGUCAUUUAACAGGAUGGCUUUUGCAUGUACGGGCAAUAUGAAUUGUUAGAACCUCAUCAACGGCUUUUUAAAACAUGGAUAAUGAUUCUGUGAGGCUACCUAUUAUUAGAGAUGCUGACUCAACCUAACUUUUCAUCAAUCCAGUCACAGGAAAGGGGUGGAGAUGAGGUGCACGUGUAGCCUCCUGGCAAACAGCUUCAACACGCCCUGCUGUUAGUAAAACCAGCCAUGCCCUUGACUUACGCACAAGUCUUAGCCUAGAAAUAAUCAAAGUAGAUGAGAUAUAAAAAUAAAUCAAAUCCUUAUUCGUUCUUUCUGUUCAAAUACAGAAAGGAGCUACUGGAGUCAAAGUCAUUUGCUUUCAAACCAGGCAGUGAACACAACCCCUUUACCUGUCUAAUUGGACAUUUUACCACAGGUUUUAGUGGUGCUUUCAGGGCUUUUGCAGCCAACCUCAAGUGGUCAUUUGAAGUACUGCAAUUUUUGGCACUUGUGCAUUUGCUUCAGUUAUCAACACUGGAGUUUCCCACUUGGACUGGACUUUUUAUAGGGCUAGUUAGCAAGCUGCUCUGGUGAUCCCUUCACAAAAAUUAAUACUUGAUGGACUUGCUGCAGUCGGGUGAGUCCAUCGACUGCAGGGGGGGUGCACAGCUCAAGGAAGAACAUUUAUGAUCAUUUCCUCAUGGAAAUGCAGAAGAACUACUGCGUCUGCAGUGCAAAUUGGUUAAUAUGAUGAUUAUUACUUCAAGGAAAUGAUAAAGAACUGAUUAUAAAUGUUAUUCCUUGAGCUGUGCACCCCCUCUGCAUUAGAUGGACUUGCCCGGAGGUCUCCAUACAAACAAGCGGCUGCUGGAAGAGAGAGGGUGAGUAGUGUUUAGUCUCUUUGCUAAAGAAAUCAGGCAAAGCUAUAAAGAUGUUUGGUGGCUAGUGCUAUGGCUGGGACCCUAUAUGUACUGUUGAUGAAGUUAGGUGCUGUUCUGAGUAUUAUUUGUGGCUGUAGAGUGGCGUUUUGGUUGUCUGCGGUCGUUACUAAAAUUGGUAUAACUGGAGAAGGAAGUGGUUGGCAACAUUCAUCUCUCGACGGGGUGUCUAACCCGGUGUUUGACCCUUAAUUAAUUUUACGCCGGAAUAUCCCUUUAAGCUGCAGUUCUGGGAAAAGGAUGGGUUUUAAAAAAUUUUAGGUUCUGUUUCAGUUUGUCUUUCCUGUCUGUUGCUAAUUUGAAGGGUGUUAACCCUUUUGUUGAAUGAAAACAAUCUGUCAGAAUUGUGAAAAGCUAGAAUGCCAUCCUGGAAUUGGAUGAGCUUCCAUCUAUCUUAUCUUUGUUUCAGUAUUUUCAUACCUACAUAUGCAGAUUUGUGAGUUCCAUCUGGUUAAAUACAAUGGACAUAUCAGACAUAAUACUUGACCCAUCAUCAGGAUAUAGCAGUUCCUAGAUUGAUGAUGGACUAAACAAUAACUGCUUGCUGGUUAGCACUAGUCAGUCCCUUUAUUCUGGAUUAUAUCUGAUCUUUCCCUUUUACCUCUCACAGGUGUGAGUUGCCUGUAAUUUUUUGGAGGACUAAGCGAGAACUAAGCAAGAAGGACAGAAAAGAAAAGAAAGAGCUCACCCCAAAGGAAUUGUUUUGUUGCUUGAUAUCGGGUCCAUAUGCAAGAAAAACUGUUUGCUAAUACGUUCCUUAUAAGCAAACUUAUCGAGUACCAAUAUGUCUCAGUGCCUGUCUUAAUCAUUUAAAUUAUGAAGUGACUAGUUAAAGCUCUACUUUGACCAAACUCUUAAUUCCAGCUUUCACAACUGGACAUUUUUCAUCUUUUUUUCUAUUCCACAGACACAUAGAAGUCAUUACCAGUAUUAUUCAGGUCUCAAAAUACUGUAAAACCUUUCUGUCAGAGUGCUGUCAGUUGUCUAGCAAUCAUUUCUGCUUGCAGAUGAUCAAUUUCUCCUCUAUUGUGAAGCCACCAUCCCACACACAUUGUAGUAAAAUAUCAAAAUAAAUAUUUGAUUUGAUCAUUUUGCCACCAAGCCUCUCCUAGACUGAGGCCAGAGAGGAAGAAGGAAUAAUGGGAAAAUCAGUUAUCAGUCAUAGCUUCAGGGAACAAGGCCACCAUUGUGUUUGAGUUUUUUUUUUUUUUUUGCCAGUGGGGAACAUGAAUCAUGUACACACACACACACACACACACACACACACACACACACACACACACACACACACACACACACACACACACACACACACACAGCCUCUUUCUUUUAAAUGGGGGAUAUUUUCUGCUGAGUCAUUCAGGAAUUGACCGAUGUAAUCAGAUAGGAGCCUGAUGGACAGUAGUCUCUGUCCAUGUUCUGACAGUGUCUGAUGGUCAGAAGCAGGAGUCGAAGGUGAUCCGGUAGAGAACAUGACACAUGCAGUACUCCAUAAUUUCAUCAUGUUUCCCCACAAAUUUGCUGUUUCUUUCAAUAAUUUAAAAGAUGUCAAGUGCUGGAAUUGACCAAAGACAGGUCUAGAGUGUUUUGCUGGGUUAUAACUUGCCAAGAAGUUUUGAGGACUUUGAGUUUGGGAUCAUUCAAACAAGGAAGUGCAAUGGCAUAAAAAGAUACUACACAGAAAGCCUAAAAGGUUAUUUAUAGGCUGUAAAAGGCCCUAAACCUACCAGUGAUCCAAGGGUGUUAAUCCUGUCUUGUGUAAUGAAUUGUAAUCUAUUUUUACCGCAGUUGCAUGUUGACUGGGGAUUCAGAAAUCCAAUAUGUGAAGGUGACUUCCUUGUACCAUUGUGACCAUUGGUUGAAUUUGUUUCAUUUGCAGUUGACUGGUUGUGGUUUACACCACAUUUUUAGCCUUGACAUUUAACUGAGCUUGUGCAGCACUUUUACCUCAAACACAGAUAAUGGUUCUGUUUCCUAGUUCCUCAUUUUUUGAUUAUAUAAUGCUAAAGUUUAAGCAUUUUACAUAGAGAACCUACUGUUUAAUGUUAAUGAGUUAUGGCGAAUUUAAAGAGUCAUCACAGUAACACCUGUGUUCAAUUUCAAAGGUUGUGCUUGUAGCCAUAAUAAUGACUGGGCAUACACACCUGACAGUUGACAACAAUACAAAUCCUUUUGAGAGUUGCAGUGCUGGUUGGGUGAACACAGGAACCUGCAUUACUGGCAGUGUAAGUAUAAAGGGUUUUCUUUAGAUAAAGAGCUGAAUUUGCCACUUUGAAUUUAUACAAAAUAAUACGAUGCAUGAGGAAGUUUAUUAUGCCAGAGUAGACAGUCAGCAAGUCUGUGGCUCCUUCAUGUCAGCCAUGCAUGAAGAACAAAGCUGCCUCAGAGCAGCUGGGAAAAUUUGAGAUUUGAUAAACACCUUUGAAUAUGAUGCAGGAUACACUUGAGCUAAUGCAGAAAUGUGUCUCAUUACAAGAUGCAGUUUUUUCACAUCUCCGCUUCGGCUGCAUUUCUCUGUUUGAGAAGCAGAAAUGAAUUGGUUAUGCUGCUGCCUUUAGUUGCAACAGCCUUUGAACAAAGUUUGCUGGAGUGUUCUGGUGCUACAAAAACUGAACCAGUUUGAAACGACCGACAAGAUUGUGCCUGUUUCAGUAACAAUCGCUUCAAUAAUCCUGGCAGUUAACAAAGUGUAAGGGUGUGACUUGGACAAGGGAGGCAGAGGAUGUUAAAAAGUAAUCUAUAUUUUCAUGUAUAAAAAUGAAUAAAACAAUAAAUCAAAUUGAAUGAUAGUGCUCAGCUGUAUCUGAAACAAAAUGCACUCAGAGAAAAAGAGUAGCCAGAAAAUCCUCACAUUUAGAGCUAGAUCAAGCAAAUAUUUAGUACUAUUUUGUUUUCUGUUAAACUUGAAUGUUGAAUCCAGUUACACACAGUAAGUUUAACUCCAUAUAGGCACCCUUAUAUCUGCUGAAAGAACAACGUGAAACUAGGCCUUGUUCUGUGUUUUAUAAUGGAGAGUUGAUCAUCAAUAAUGACUAAUUUAUUAUGUAUUUUUUAUGUAUUGGUCUCUGCUUUUAUGUCAAUUCUUGGACUUCUUGAAUACUUUAAAGUCACAGUGGUUCAUGAUCUGUAACACACAUGGUUAUUUUUUGCACCCUGAAGAAGUCGGUGAAUGUAUGUCUGUUAUGAACCCUAACUCCUCUGUAAUGGGUUCACCAACAACCUCACUCCUAUCUAACAUGCAAUUAAAAAAUAAUAAAGAACUGCUUCUGAGCAAAUCCGAGCACCUGAUGGUGAUAUAACUAAAUUACGUACAUGAGACUUUAUGCUGCAGCUUCAAGAACAAUCUCUCAGCCUGUGUUCAAGACAGCCAACAGGAAGUCGCCCAUUUCCGGAAGUGGCUUGUGACCUUUACUGAGCGCUUUGUUGAAACGGCGGUUUAAGGGAGGCUGAAGCAGGAAAAAGUUUGCUGUGUUAACUGAGCUGUCACAGGCCUGAAGUUUGUAAAAUGUGUUCAUAAAUUACAGAUUGGCUUCAACAAAGGUGUUAAUUUUUUUAUGUAAUCUUGAUCUUUUGUCAACUGUUUUAUUUAAAUAAAAAGGUUUUGAAUAUUUUGUGCUGAAAGUUUAACUUUACAGCUUCGAAAUGCCGGCCAACCAUAGCAGUGACUCUAAAACUUCUGCUUUGGGCUCAUGAUGACACAUCCUGCUUCUUAAAGCAAUGAUGUGUGAUGCAUCAUAUUUCUGGCUCUGUGCCUCAGUUUUCUCAGUGAAACAUUUGCUUUGUGCUCUUUGACUUGUUUCUCUGACGUCAGGCAUUGCUAAAAAUACAACCCAUACGAAAACAACACACUUCAUGUUUUAUUUGACUGACGCUUUGAUAAUCAUUUGUUAAAGCCUAUUAGCUUGAUGGACCAAAAACUUUGCAAAGAAUGUUAUUAUUUAGCCACACAAAGACCCAUACAGCUCAUUAAAUGGUGUCAAUCUCUGUGUUGCUCUGUCUGCCCUCGUGGCAGUCGUUCUCAGCGCAGUCCUCCAGAAAUAAUGAAGUGAGAAGGGAAGGAGCAGAUCCAGACACUGACUGUACACAGCUAUCUUUGUUAGAGGUUAAAGAGAGUGAAGCGUUGCCUUGUUAGCUGGAGAGAGGAGUUUUAUAGGUGCACAACACGGAGGGCUGACACUGUUUCUGACCCUCAAUAAAAUGUUGUGGCAAUAAAAAGAAAAGCAGUUACCAUAAGUCAGUUCAGCUUUUGAUGGAAAAGUUUGACGUUUUCUAAAUGACACUUUUUGACUUUCCUCCAGGGAGUCAAAUGAGGCUAGUAAUACCUACACUCCUACACCUGUACAGCAGAUACAGACUGGCAGUGUAUGGCAGCAGCUUGUUAGGUUAACGGAAGAUAGAGGUAGAAAAAGAGCCAGCAAAAAUAGAAACUCAGACUAUUCCUCUAACAAUAGACAGAAUAGUCUGUCAUAAGUUUUACUAGAAUUGUGUUCAGACCAAAAAAAAGAUCAUUUUAAAUUAGUUUUAUACAUCAAUUGUGGUUUCUAUGAGCUACAACAUGAGGUCAAAAACCUAACAUAAAAGUCCACCAUUUUAGCUUAGAGGACUAAUAAAGUCAUAAUAGUAGUUCUAGGGUAAGUUGAACCAGUGGCUCAACUGAGAAAGAAAGGAAGUCUGAUGAGAGGAUCAAAGUUUCAGUACAGAUUUUUGAAUUGUGUUACUUUCCAAAAAUACAGCCAUGAAUGUUCUGAAUCACUUAAAGCUAUUCUCAUGUUAAAAUGGCUUUUUACAAAACAGCUUUUUAGCAGGUAUAUGCAAUAAUAAUAAUAACAUUAUUGUACCAGUUAAAUACCAUAUAAUAGAUAAAAAUACACAUGAAUGUGAAGAAGUGACUGUUAUUAAGGGAGAGAGAAGGUGAGGGAGGGUAGGUGGACAGUAGGGGGGAUAGUAGGGAUACGGCUCAACUUACCCCGCUCCUAUGGUCAACUUACCCCAUACACGGGGUAAGUUGACCAUAGGAGACCACUUUUUUGGCAUGCUAUAUUAUCAAGACAGUUAUGUUCACACUUAUUCUGUUGGUUUGCAGGGAUGCACAACAUCUUGAAAUAUAUGCAGAUACACUAGUUAGAGACUUACCUAUGACUGCCUUGAUGUAGUGAUCUGAAAUAUGAAAAAUGGCUCAUCUUACCCCACUCUCCCCUACAUAUAUUACUCAGGACUUAUUGCUUUCCUAAAGUAUUACAACUGAACCUGCACACCUUUCCUUCUUAAACUCACUGUCAUACAACCACCAAUAAAAAUAUGAUCAGUCAAGCAUAAACUGGAAUCAACCAGUGUUAUGUUGUUUGCCUAACUUUAAAGGGAUUAGCCUCUGGUCUUGGCUUCAGUGGAUGCUCAUCAGACCAGGACAGGGUCAGCCAGAUUAGACAUACAGUAGGUAGGCAAACACAGUUUUCUCACAGGUCUGUCGUUUUGAUGCUGUCUGGUGUUGGGCGUCAGCGUUUCUCUCAGCUCUGUUAGAGUGAUAAGUAGUUAGUGAUGAGUGUUUGCCAUUGGCCUGUAAACAGGAAAUGUUGUUUCGCCCAUAGAGCUGAGUCAAGAAGGGGCCCCUGGGAGUAUAGAGCUGUCAGUGUUAGUGUGUGUGCAGUGACAGGGUGACACGGAACUCCUACGUCACUCCAUGCUUGUGACUUUUGGCUUAAAUUUAUCACUUUUGUUUUUAUGUCAGUUUUGUGUUUUGUCACAGUAACUUUAAAUAUGAUGUUUACAGGAACUCGAGGAGCUCAUGAAAUGCACGGACAGGAAUUUUCAACCCUCUCUUUUUGGCUUGUGUGAUGUUCAAGUUUAGUGAAAAGGUCAGCUGCAAUAAACAGACUAGAGAAUGUUUACAUAUAUGAAAAACCAAAAGCUGCUGUUUAAACACGCUGCAGGCUGCUGAGCAUUUCAUCAGGAGAAGGGUUAAAUGUGAAAACUGGAAGUGGAACACCUGCCAUAUGUGGGUGAAAUGAUAUGAAGGCUGCUUCCAAUAUGGCCUGCAGCAGUGGGGCAUGUGUGAAUGAAAUGAAAGGCGGCAUCUGAUAACAGUCACUAUCUAUUAUGCAAACAGCAAUGCCAGUUUGAAACCAUAAUGAAUCCAGAGUGAAUUCUCUCCUACUUACUUUAAUCUUUUCAUCUUUGCGGAGCUGUGAACAGGAAAUGCAGUUUAUAAAUAACUUGCUCAGUUCUUGCUCAGAGGCCAUCAGGGUUAGAUGCAGUAAUGAAUGACAGAUUGCUGUUUCAACUUUGUUGGCGAGAGAGAAAAAAGUUUUGAACGUCAAUAUUCACACUUGCAAAAAAAGCCAACUCUUGAUGCUAGGUGUUUGGAGGAUUUGCUGUUUUUUUAAUGCCAAAAUUAUUAACCAGUUGACCUUUUAAGAGACUCAUCAACCUGCUCACCCUCUCCUGGUCUGUCACACUUGCAAGGAGUAAUGGAAACUGGACAGAUCAGUAAUACUAUCAAAGGUCUCUACUUUCGAAAAGUAACAGACCAACAUUUGCGGCACCUAAAGGGAGCUCCAUGAAUGAAAGAACUUGGCAUGUGUAACUAGUUUUACACACGACUUUGUGCAUCUAGCAUUUGUGUGUUUAUAGACAUACAGUUACCCCCCCCCCCCCCCCCUGUAACUGUAGCAGCAGCAAUGUGGUGGCAGGGACUCUAAAAAUACAUCCCACUGUGUCUUUCAACAGCAAAAACCAGACUAGGUAUUCUUUUUAAAUACCUGGUAUUACUGAGAACAUUAUUGUUAUGUUUUUGGGGGACCAAGCUACUGUGAUGCUUAAAUUGAUGUUUCAUGUUAAUUAUUUUAAUUAAUGUUAAUGCAGUCCACAGACAAUAGGCAAUUUGAAUAGUAGUAAACUUGUACUUCAUGACAUGAUGCCGCACAUUCUUUAAUCCUUGAUUUUCAGAUAUUUUGACUGUCUGUAGAGUUCAUCACUUAUUUUCAAAUACUGUUUACGUGUUGAGGAAAUAAGAGGAAGGGCCCCAGACUUUCAGUGUCAACUGUGUGCUAUGCCCAUGUGCCACUUGGUGAGAGCAACAAUGAACAAUUCACCUUAGAGCCCCAUGUUGCGGUUUACUGAGACUUCCUGUCAAUCACAUCAGCCCACCGCAGGCCAGGUGUCUUCCUGUCUCAGUGCACUGAAGGGGUCAAAGUCAAGGAGAAUAUUGUUCUUUAUAAAGAAUACUGUUGUUGUCUUUAACCAAAAUAUGCAUCCAGAAAGGCAUAUUUUCUUUUUUUUUCAUCAAUCAAUCAAUCAAUCAAUCAAUCAAUCAAUCAAUCAAUCAAUCAAUCAAUCAAUCAAUCAAUCAAUCAAUCAAUCAAUCAAUCAAUCUUUUUGAAGUCACUUUAAUUCAAUCUGCAUAGGAAAACAAACUCACAUGGCCACUACUCGCAUGUUUUUUUUUUACCAGUGCUCUCUGGAUAACUUUUGGCCUUGUUCUUUUCAAAAUAAAAGCACCGGUCUUUACAACAUUGCAGGAAAUAGAUACGUUGGAUUAGGAUGAUACCUUCAAAGUGAGAUUAACAAUAUCAACCUUUAAUAUGGGUUAUUGAUAAAGACCUUAUACGUUAUAUCUUACCUUUAUAAAUCUUCCAGGAGUGACACAUUUAACAACAUUUUUGUUUUCCCAUUAUUAUUUUGCCCUACAAAGGAUGCUCCUUUCUGAAAGUUUUGUCAGUACCUGGUUUUACUCUGUAGUCAUAUUACAAUGAUAAAUAAAUGAAGCAAAUAAAAACAGAAAAAGUUGGUAAUUAUUUUACUUUUCACGGCUGAUGUCAGCUGCCAACAGUGUAAUCUGUCGUACUGAAGAGGAAAAAAAGCAAAAAACAAACAAACUUUGAUUUAAAGUUAGUUGUCUCUUUUUUGGAUGGCUGGUGUAAAAACCAGAAGAAGAAAAGGAAAAGAAAAUGGACUGAAACAGAAUAGGUAGCUGAUCAGUGUUGAACCAAUAUCAUUUAAUGCAAACUCUAUCAACACCUGACUGAACUACAAGUCGAACUGAUAUAAAACCACAAAAACAGACAAAUUAUUAACCAAUGAAAUGGAACUUUUUCAAGUUUUGCACUCAUUAAAAUCUGCUCCUGAGCUCUUAAUUUCAAGCUUAGUACUGUGGUGCACCAUACAAAAUGAUAUAGGAUAAUAUCAAAGGAAAUAAUGAGGAUAUGAUGGCAUUGUUUUUGCAUUUUAUAUAGGCAUUAGGUCAAAAACUUGACUGUGGGGAAAAUGCAGAAUUAUUCAAACUCAAGCAAAAAGCCCAUGUUUAAGGAUUAGGAGCAACUAUCUUUUAAUUCCAUGUUUCACAACCGAAGAGAGCUUAUCCGUUAUGAACCCUGCCUGCAGCUCAACAAAAUGAAAAUAUGACACAUUUACUGUCCCAAAGUUCAAACUGCAGCCUCCUGUUUUAUUUCAGAAGAUUACUUAAGUCCCUCUGCUUUAGACAUUGCUGUUAUUUCCCACUUGUAGAAAAGUAGGUCCCACAUCUGUGAAUAGAAACAGCAAAAAGCAUGCUCCAUCUCCUGCCUGAUCCUGUGUUAUUAUUUUGUAUCUCGAAUAAUCAAAUCAACAGUCAAUCAAUCAAUCAAUCAAUCAACUCAAAAAAUCAAUCAAUCAAGCGGAUUAAAUUCAAUCAAUCAAUCUUUUUGACAGCCCAGUGACCUCUCUGUGUUAUUUCAUCUCUCAAGGGUUCACUCAGGAAAAAAAAAAUCCACAGAGAUAAGAAAGAAAAAAAAAACAGUGUUCUAACCAGGCUCGGCUUUGUGACGUCUCCGUCACAUCUGCUUGUAAUCCCAUCAUGCCUUCAGAGAGAAAAUCCCCUUUUCUUCCUCCUCCACACAGAACCAGGUGAUGAAGGAGACGAGUUUAGCCGGCAAAUGACUCUCUGUCUUUGUAGCUUGUGUUUAAUAUGUUUGCCUUGCAUAUUUGUGUGUGUAUGUGUUUGUGUGUGUUACAGAGAACUGUGUGAGCCAUCUGUUACAAUGCUGUUGUUCGGGGACAGUGCCGUAUCUAGGACCCUCUCUCUCAGUGGGACAAAUUUAAAAAUAGCUCAUUGAAUUCAAACUCCAGUGUGGCACACUUAGCCUUGUCAACAAAGUUGCAUAUAGAGAGGCUGCAUCAUGUCUGUAUCUGUGUGAAAAAAUAGAGGCCCUGUGAUGGUGCAGAAAUCAACACUCGGCUACUUACUUUCCACUGAACUGCUUUCACAUUCAGAGCUGUAACAAGGAGGGAUACAUGUGAAGAGAGUAAAGUAACUUUUCAUUUAUGGAGGGUUUGUUCAUGGUCAUCUGAUGAAGUCAAUGUGUUUUUUCCCACAUUGUCUGAAAAAAGAUGAGACUGUAAGGUUCUUUGUUGAAUUUUAGAAAUUACUUUGGAAAUGUUAAACUCAAUCAUAUCUCCAAAGCUCCUGAAGAGAAUCUCCUCAGUUUUGGCAAAAAAAAAAACAUUUACUUGCACUGAAGUAUGAACUGAUCAGAAUUUGGUGGUUCAGGGUCAAAAUUUAAGGUCAAGAAAAUGAAGGCCAAGCAUGAAAUGUCUUGUCAUAAAAUUUGGCAGAACUGACCUUUAGAAUAAAAAAUGAAAUGAUGGGUUUUUCUACAAAAAGUUUAAAAAUCAUAAGACAAUGAUUACCUUAAAAAAAUACUACAAGGCUUAGCCAUUUUUACAUUCCACUUGUGAACAACGUCACACAGCAAUGCUUGGGAGCAAACAGUUUUCUAUUUUUUCACAUUCACCACCACUUUAACUGUCAGCAGAGGCAAACAGAUGAAGGUGGUGAUUGUAGUUUUCAUAAAUGGAAAAGAAACAGCAAAAAGCAUGCUCCAUCUCCUGUGGUUCUGUAGAUACAUCAUGCAGAGAGUAGUUUCUUUAAUAUCCAGUUCCAUCUUCUCCACAAAGAGAAGCACCUUUACAAGCACCUGGCUGCCCAGUGACCUCUCUGUGUUAUUUCAUCUCUCAAGGGUUCACUCAGGAAAAAAAAAAUCCACAGAGAUAAGAAAGAAAAAAAAAACAGUGUUCUAACCAGGCUCGGCUUUGUGACGUCUCCGUCACAUCUGCUUGUAAUCCCAUCAUGCCUUCAGAGAGAAAAUCCCCUUUUAUUUGUUUUACCUGUGACAACUGUACAGGGGGUAAAUGAUUUAGCCGGCAAAUGACUCUCUGUCUUUGUAGCUUGUGUUUAAUAUGUUUGCCUUGCAUAUUUGUGUGUGUGUGUUUGUGUGACAGUUCGGUGUUGUGAGCCAUCUGUUACAAUGCCUGUUAGGCUUGGCCUUCCUUCCUGCUUUACGAGUGUCAGACUGGCUGCUGCCCCUGAGUCAGUAAGUGGUAUCUAGGACCCUCCUCAGUGGGACAAAUUUAAAAAUAGCUCAUUGAAUUCAAACUCCAGUGUGGCACACUUAGCCUUGUCAACAAAGUUGCAUAUAGAGAGGCUGCAUCAUGUCUGUAUCUGUCAGUAGAGGAUGUGAUGGUGCACUGAUCAACACUGGCUACUUACUCCACUGAACUGCUUUAAAACAAGGAGGAUACAUUAGAAGAGAGUAAAGUAAUCAUGAGUCGGUUGCUCUUGUUUCAUGGCUUAUGGAUGACACAAUAGGAUGUUUUUCCCCCCUGAAAAAUAAUCAUUUGAGAAAAACAAAAAGCAGUCUUAUAUUUUUCUGUGUCACUGUUAGUCUUAAUAGAGUCUCAAUGUUUCAACAGCUGCUGUGAAAAUCUUUGAAAAUCCACUGAACCUAGUAUGAAUAUGACAGUUUCCUGCAGUUCAGUGACAAUAGGAGGUCAAAAAUGUUUCAUGGCAGAGAUGGCUUGUUUUAACAGUCCUUGUGGUAUACGUAAUAAAUGCUGUGAGAUUGUGGGAUUGUUAUUUCACUGCUCUUUUGGGGCUGUUUGCUUUUUUGUUCACUGUCAUGUGGGAGAGCUGCAGUCUCCUCCUAAUAAACACGGACCGGAAGAAAAACUAUUGAUUUUGUGACUGUGUUUGAUCUGCCUUUUCUCUCUGUCUCUCUGUGCAGCUUGAAAGCUCUGGUUUCGACAGGAGGGAAAAACGUGCAGGCAGCAUGUGACUGGUGAGAGUACCACACACUUGAAUUUUAAGGCCCUGUUUUUGUUAUUAAAGCAGAGCUAGAAUAUAAACAG